This 402-nucleotide ribosomal RNA is filed under the name Caulobacter vibrioides. Its description in RNAcentral is "partial 16S ribosomal RNA". It matches the Rfam family "Bacterial small subunit ribosomal RNA", at positions 355 to 774 of the family's 1533-position model. RNAcentral also lists the same sequence under 3 other names. Lineage: Bacteria; Pseudomonadati; Pseudomonadota; Alphaproteobacteria; Caulobacterales; Caulobacteraceae. The record is from RNAcentral.
UGGGGAAUAUUGGACAAUGGGCGCAAGCCUGAUCCAGCCAUGCCGCGUGGAUGAUGAAGGCCUUAGGGUUGUAAAGUCCUUUUAACGGGGAAGAUAAUGACGGUACCCGUAGAAUAAGCCCCGGCUAACUUCGUGCCAGCAGCCGCGGUAAUACGAAGGGGGCUAGCGUUGCUCGGAAUCACUGGGCGUAAAGCGCACGUAGGCGGAUUCUUAAGUCGGUGGUGAAAGCCUGGAGCUCAACUCCAGAACUGCCUUCGAUACUGAGAGUCUUGAGUCCGGGAGAGGUGAGUGGAACUGCGAGUGUAGAGGUGAAAUUCGUAGAUAUUCGCAAGAACACCAGUGGCGAAGGCGGCUCACUGGCCCGGUACUGACGCUGAGGUGCGAAAGCGUGGGGAGCAAACA